Molecule: non-coding RNA, 811 nt
Organism: Zootermopsis nevadensis
Lineage: Eukaryota; Metazoa; Arthropoda; Insecta; Blattodea; Termopsidae
Source: RefSeq, a predicted model, not a curated record
ACAUGUAGCACACGUGGGAGAUAUGGGUGAUUAACAGAAACGUUAGUUGGCAAAUUCAAAGAGAAGAGACCACUUUGAAGACCUUGGUGUAGACGGAAGAAUUGUAUAAAAUUUUAUCGUAGAACUAUGGUGUAAAAUGGAAUUAUCUGGUUCCGGUUAAGUCCAGUGGCGGGAUCUUGCGAACAUGCUGAACAGGUCACGCAGCGAGAUUUGUGGAUAAUGAGUCGGAAAGGCUGAAAAUAUGGUAUUGGCCUAUAACAAGAUACUAUCGCAGCAUUCGCCUGGAGGUUUCGAACGGAAGAGAUGACCUCCAAGCAUGUAAUGUAGACAGCCGACAAGCGGUGGUCUUCCUGCUAACAACUCACUUUAUGAAAUGUUGCACAGGCCCUUAUGUGGAAGUGACUCAAUAUUGGGUCUUGCAAACAUCUUAGGGUCCAUAAAGAGCAGGGAUUUUCCUGACUAGCUGAACGACUACCAGUUUCGCAAGAAAGACUAUUCAAUGGAGUUAUUUUAAUCAUAAAACACCAUCCUGUGUCAUGAAGGCGAAACUUCGAGGCUAUAUUCGACAAAUUUAUCGUAGAAAGAAUCCACUCUUAAUAACAAGAUCUUCCGCAAAAUAAUGAUGAUGAUAAUCUACAGCAAACCUAAGAAAUUCUGACUGGAGCAGUAUUAAAUCCAAUGACCAUCUGCACACGAGCCCAAUAUACCAGCCCACCAACUAGAAUACAUCUUAUUGGUGUUCCUCCCCGGGCCAGCGAAACAGUGGAUCUACCCCGCUCAGCUCACCUUGUCACCCCUAACUGAGUCCCCA